GCCUGGGUGGCUCAGUCGGUUAAGCAUCUGACUUUGGCUCAGAUCAUGAUCUCCUCGUUUGUGAGUUCAAGCCCUGCACUGGGCU
RNAcentral lists this transfer RNA (85 nucleotides) under Felis catus (domestic cat). It matches the Rfam family "tRNA". From Rfam's summary of the family: Transfer RNA (tRNA) molecules are approximately 80 nucleotides in length. Their secondary structure includes four short double-helical elements and three loops (D, anti-codon, and T loops). Lineage: Eukaryota; Metazoa; Chordata; Mammalia; Carnivora; Felidae. The record is from Rfam by way of RNAcentral.